UACGAAGGGGGCUAGCGUUGUUCGGAAUUACUGGGCGUAAAGGGCGCGUAGGCGGCCAUCUAAGUCAGACGUGAAAUCCCCCGGCUUAACCUGGGAACUGCGUCUGAUACUGGACGGCUUGAGUGCGGGAGAGGGAUGUGGAAUUCCAGGUGUAGCGGUGAAAUGCGUAGAUAUCUGGAGGAACACCGGUGGCGAAGGCGGCAUCCUGGACCGACACUGACGCUGAGGCGCGAAAGCUAGGGUAGCAAACGGG
Molecule: ribosomal RNA, 253 nt
Filed under: uncultured bacterium
Lineage: Bacteria
Description: partial 16S ribosomal RNA
Rfam family: Bacterial small subunit ribosomal RNA
Source: RNAcentral